CCUGUAAUGGCUGCUUUCAGUCAGGCUGUGUCACGAGUAACCUCUUAGCCUCAGCAUCCGGAAGUUCCAAAGAGAAUAUUUCACGUUGGAUAGAAUUUUACAUAUACCAUUGUUUUUGGCAGGUUCAGCCCUCCAGAUCCUAACAUCAUGAAUUCAGUUCCAACACAACUGAUCUUAGUCCUUACUUCGCUGCUUUUGAUCCUGCCUGGCGUUGAAGCAGUCGAAGCUGGAGAUGCGAUUGCACUCUUAUUAGGUGUGGUUCUCAGUGUUACAGGCAUCUGUGCUUGCUUGGGGAUAUAUGCAAGAAAGCGAAAUGGACAGAUAUGACUUUGAAGGACUCUUCUGAAUUAGACUUCACCCUGACCAUUGUGCUGAAAACCCUUGUGCUGUUGAGGCCGAACCCAAGAUUUGCUCUCACCUGUCCUCAGAAAGAGGAUUACAGUUAGCUGAGGGUUAACACCCUCAGUUAAGAGAAUGCUUUCCUGUUCAUACUUGUUUCUCCUAUGAUGGGAGCAGAUGGGGUGGGGGGAGAGGCUCUUAACAACAAAGAGUGCAGUAAUAAUGUGGCCCAUAAUUUGUAUUUGCUGCUUGGGAGGUGGCCAAAGCGAGAGGGCUUAAGUUUGCAAAAGUAUUAUCUCAUACUUUGAAAGUGUUUGUUCAGAAUCUAGUAAAUCUACAUCGUUAUUAUAAUCACUGCCUCUUGCAUUCUGGGGGUUCUCUCUUUCAUUUGGGGGGUUGGAUUGGGUUUUGGAUUUGUUUUUUUGUUGUUACUGUUUUCUUUUUAAUGCUUCUGUUUUUAACAUAGUUGUACUUAGAUCUUAAUAGCCAAAAAUUGAAACUUUUAACUCUGAGGAAAAGUUUAAUAAAAAUGUAUUAAAUGUAUCUAAUACUAAAAUGGUGAAAAUAUUUGUUAAAAAAAUAACUAUACAUUAA
This is a long non-coding RNA of Rattus norvegicus (Norway rat), 933 nucleotides long. RefSeq annotates it as small integral membrane protein 30 like 1. The transcript has 3 exons. Lineage: Eukaryota; Metazoa; Chordata; Mammalia; Rodentia; Muridae. The record is from RefSeq and is marked validated.